RNAcentral lists this ribosomal RNA (120 nucleotides) under Nocardioides sp. SP12. RNAcentral's name for it is "partial 23S ribosomal RNA". It matches the Rfam family "Bacterial large subunit ribosomal RNA", at positions 13 to 131 of the family's 2925-position model. The record is from RNAcentral. Lineage: Bacteria; Bacillati; Actinomycetota; Actinomycetes; Propionibacteriales; Nocardioidaceae.
AAGGGCACAUGGUGGAUGCCUUGGCAUCAAGAGCCGAUGAAGGACGUUGGAGCCUGCGAUAAGCCCUGGGGAGUUGGCAACCAAGCUGUGAUACGGGGGUGUCCGAAUGGGGAAACCCGG